AAUAAGCUUACAUAGCAUUUCACUUACACUGAAAAGAUUCUUACAUUUAAACCUUUAAUA
This 60-nucleotide transfer RNA is filed under the name Corythalia opima. Its description in RNAcentral is "tRNA-Val". The record is from RNAcentral. Lineage: Eukaryota; Metazoa; Arthropoda; Arachnida; Araneae; Salticidae.